AAGAAGUUGGAAUGCUAGCUGCUUGUCUA
This 29-nucleotide non-coding RNA is filed under the name Homo sapiens (human). The record is from RNAcentral. Lineage: Eukaryota; Metazoa; Chordata; Mammalia; Primates; Hominidae.